UCAUGGCUCAGAACGAACGCGGGCGGCGUGCCUAACACAUGCAAGUCGAGCGCGAAUGGGAGCAAUCCCUAGUAGAGCGGCGCACGGGUGCGUAACACGUGGGUAAUCUGCCUGGAAGACCGGGACAACCUUCCGAAAGGAUGGCUAAUACCGGAUAAGCCUACGGGGUCCUCGGACCUCGAAGGAAAAGGUGGCCUCUGUACACAAGCUAUCACUUCCAGAUGAGCCCGCGGCCCAUCAGCUAGUUGGCGGGGUAAUGGCCCACCAAGGCAACGACGGGUAGCUGGUCUGAGAGGACGAUCAGCCACACUGGAACUGAGACACGGUCCAGACUCCUACGGGAGGCAGCAGUGGGGAAUUUUGCACAAUGGGCGCAAGCCUGAUGCAGCAACGCCGCGUGUGUGAUGAAGGUCUUCGGAUUGUAAAGCACUUUCGACCGGGACGAACCACUUCUGGCUAAUAUCCAGGAGGCUGACGGUACCGGGAGAAGAAGCACCGGCUAACUCUGUGCCAGCAGCCGCGGUAAUACAGAGGGUGCAAGCGUUGUUCGGAAUUAUUGGGCGUAAAGCGCGUGUAGGCGGUCUUGCAAGUCGGGUGUGAAAUCCCUCGGCUCAACUGAGGAAGUGCGCCCGAAACUGCAGGACUUGAGUACCGGAGAGGGUGGCGGAAUUCCCCAAGUAGAGGUGAAAUUCGUAGAUAUGGGGAGGAACACCGGUGGCGAAGGCGGCCACCUGGACGGAUACUGACGCUGAGACGCGAAAGCGUGGGGAGCAAACAGGAUUAGAUACCCUGGUAGUCCACGCCGUAAACGAUGAGAACUAGGUGUCGUGGGUGUUGACCCCCGCGGUGCCGUAGCUAACGCAUUAAGUUCUCCGCCUGGGAAGUACGGCCCGCAGGCUAAAACUCAAAG
Molecule: ribosomal RNA, 910 nt
Filed under: uncultured bacterium
Lineage: Bacteria
Description: bacterial SSU rRNA
Rfam family: Bacterial small subunit ribosomal RNA
Source: RNAcentral